CAACUCGUUCUGAAAAUUUGUCACUGAGCCAACAGACCUGCAGUUUGCUCACCAACCUUGGAGAUACAGAGCUGGUUGCCUUCCUCCGUUUUCCCUCCACCUCUCCAUCUCCAGAUCCUGCCUCCUCCGGCAAAGACCUUGGAGGAUCCUUUGUCAGACCAGAUUCCAUGUCUACUCCCUGGCGGCUCCUGGCUGGGAUUCUGGGGGUCCUGGCCCUGGCCCUCAUGGCAUCCGUGCUAGCACUGGGGGUCCUCAUGGGAAAUUACUCUUCUGACCCAGGACCUGAGAGCCCUUUUACAGUUCCCAACACCACAUCUCUAACGGGUAGGUUUUACUAAUUUUUCUCUUCUCAUUUUUAACCUGGAGGAGAGCAAGUUUCCAAAUUCAGUGUACAUUUCGGAUCUUCGGCCAGAUCUGCCAGAGAAAUUGUGUAAAGCAAACCAAUCACCUGGAGAAGACUAUAUUAGCCUCACAUUCUGAAACGACAAAUGCACUAGUAAACACCAAAUGAACCUGACAAACCACGUGUCUCUACCUUUUCUGGU
This is a long non-coding RNA of Ornithorhynchus anatinus (platypus), 545 nucleotides long. RefSeq lists it as uncharacterized. The transcript is spliced from 3 exons. The record is from RefSeq and is a predicted model, not a curated record. Lineage: Eukaryota; Metazoa; Chordata; Mammalia; Monotremata; Ornithorhynchidae.